This 466-nucleotide ribosomal RNA is filed under the name uncultured bacterium. RNAcentral's name for it is "bacterial SSU rRNA". It matches the Rfam family "Bacterial small subunit ribosomal RNA", at positions 355 to 825 of the family's 1533-position model. The record is from RNAcentral.
UGGGGAAUAUUGGGCAAUGGAGGGAACUCUGACCCAGCCAUGCCGCGUGCAGGAUGAAGGCGUUAUGCGUUGUAAACUGCUUUUAUAUAGGAAGAAAUAGUCCUUGCGAGGAAAGUUGACGGUACUAUAUGAAUAAGCACCGGCUAACUCCGUGCCAGCAGCCGCGGUAAUACGGAGGGUGCAAGCGUUGUCCGGAUUUAUUGGGUUUAAAGGGUGCGUAGGCGGUUUAUUAAGUCAGUGGUGAAAGACGGUCGCUCAACGAUUGCAGUGCCAUUGAUACUGGUAGACUUGAGUAUGAUUGAGGUAGCUGGAAUGGAUAGUGUAGCGGUGAAAUGCAUAGAUAUUAUCCAGAACACCAAUUGCGUAGGCAAGUUACUAAGUCAUAACUGACGCUGAGGUACGAAAGCGUGGGGAGCAAACAGGAUUAGAUACCCCAGUAGUCCCUGAGCGGGCUGGCAAGGCGCAU